This 152-nucleotide unclassified non-coding RNA is filed under the name uncultured Sordariales. RNAcentral's name for it is "sequence contains ITS2". Lineage: Eukaryota; Fungi; Ascomycota; Sordariomycetes; Sordariales. The record is from RNAcentral.
CAACCCUCAAGCACUGCUUGGCGUUGGGGCGCUACGCGCUAAGCGUAGGCCCCUAAAAUCAGUGGCGGGCUCGCUGUAGCUCCGGGCGUAGUAGCAACACCUCGCCCUGGGACCGCGGCGCGCUCCAGCCGUUAAACCCCCACUAUACUGAA